Molecule: long non-coding RNA, 429 nt
Organism: Dalotia coriaria
Lineage: Eukaryota; Metazoa; Arthropoda; Insecta; Coleoptera; Staphylinidae
Exons: 2
Source: RefSeq, a predicted model, not a curated record
CAGGCGGCUGAAAGAAGAGCAAAAUGAACAUCAGAAAAAAGUCGACAGGUUUUUUAAAUUAUGCGAUUUAUAUUUAAGCAUUUUUUCAUAUUACGUAAUUCAACGUCGCAUAACAAUAUAGAAAUAUAAUGUUUGUUUAACAAUGAAACAAUACGGGCCCCUAAAAGGCGCAUAAGGCAUAGCAGGUAACAUUAAAUGUGCAUGUACCGGCUGCUGUAGCAAAAUGUGCAUGUGAAAUGCAUCGACAGUUUCACAACGACGUCAUUUGCCUUCUCAUUAAACUUUUACGGCAAGUGCACGCGCCCUGUACUAAUUGCGCGUCGUUAAUUGAGCCAUGAACACAACCGGAAACCAUGAGUAUGAAUGUCUACGCCAUAUUGUUUAUUUAAACAUUGUUUAGUAAAUAAAUUUGGUGUAACGCAAAGGAAA